This is a non-coding RNA of Pelobates cultripes (western spadefoot toad), 242 nucleotides long. Lineage: Eukaryota; Metazoa; Chordata; Amphibia; Anura; Pelobatidae. The record is from the annotation of a GenBank genome assembly.
AUUAAAUUAAACCAGCAUGUUUAUCACCUCUCGGUAGAAAUUCUUUAGGCUUGGAGCUAUAAUCCGUGAAUGGUGAAUGCAAGAGUGUGUUUAAAUGGAGAUUGAGUAUUUGAAAUAAAUCUGAUUAGUAAAGAAUUUUAACAAAGUCCACGAUUAAGAUAGAAAAGAUAGAAUGUUAGGUUUUCAAAGUCCCAGAAAUUCAUUUGGAAAAGACCGUGUGUUAGAUGUGUCCAGAGUUUGCC